Molecule: long non-coding RNA, 378 nt
Organism: Papaver somniferum (opium poppy)
Lineage: Eukaryota; Viridiplantae; Streptophyta; Magnoliopsida; Ranunculales; Papaveraceae
Exons: 2
Source: RefSeq, a predicted model, not a curated record
UUGAGAUGAAGUAUAUUACGAAGAGAAAAGAAAAUCGUUCAAAGGGCAUGAGGAAAGAAAGAAAGAAAGAAAACAAAAGAAGGGGAGUUCUAGUUGUUGAAAUAUGGAUUUGAUGGUGUUGAUUAAGUAUAGAGAUCAUGAUGGAUUAUUUAUUUAUGAUGGUAGAGAUGGAUGAUGCAAACAUGUUAAACAAUCAAGUUUCAGAGACAGACCAGAGUUGCGCAGCGAAAUCUCCGAGAAGUUGACUUCUUUAGUUGGUUAUAAUCUGAUAUGUUUAUUAUGUUGUAUAUUCUAUUUGUAAACCAAAUGACUAUUGUAUAUGUAUCAUUUGAGAAAAGAUCUUGUAUAUAUAUUUCUGAGCGGGGUUAGUUUUGGGUU